Molecule: long non-coding RNA, 425 nt
Filed under: Homo sapiens (human)
Lineage: Eukaryota; Metazoa; Chordata; Mammalia; Primates; Hominidae
Description: non-protein coding lnc-RAD1-4:1
Source: RNAcentral
AAAUAAAGUUCAGUUCUUUUGUGACUUCUGACCAAAGCAAGAACCAUAAAAAAGCAUUUCAAAUGCACCUUUCCAAAUUCACAAGAUUAUGUCUUCCCUCUUUCCAAAGAGCUGAGACAAAAGUACAAUGCUUGAUCCAUGCCCCCCAAAUAGGAUGAUGAAGUUCAGAUUGUGCAAGGACACUAUAAAGGUCAGCAAACUGGCAAAGUAAUCCAGGUUUACCAGAAGAAAUCAUCUAUACUGACAGGGUGCAGUGGGAAAAGGCUAACGGCACAACUAUCCAUGUGGGCAUUGACCCCAACAAGGCAGCUAUCACUAGGCUAAAACUGGAAAAGAACAGAAAAAGAUCCUUGAGCAGAAAGCCAAAUCUCACCUAGUAGGAAAGAAAAAUAGUAGAUAUGAGGAAGAAACAUUCGAGAAGAUGU